Molecule: unclassified non-coding RNA, 358 nt
Filed under: soil metagenome
Description: partial contains 5.8S ribosomal RNA, internal transcribed spacer 2, and large subunit ribosomal RNA
Rfam family: 5.8S ribosomal RNA (bases 1-120)
Source: RNAcentral
GAUGAAGAACGCAGCGAAAUGCGAUAAGUAGUGUGAAUUGCAGAAUUCAGUGAAUCAUCGAAUUUUUGAACGCAUAUUGCGCCCUAUGGUAUUCCGUAGGGCAUGCCUGUUCGAGCGUCAUUACGCCCCUCAAGUCCCCUGUGGACUUGGUGUUGGGGAUCGGCGAGGCUGGUUUUCCAGCACAGCCGUCCCUUAAAUUAAUUGGCGGUCUCGCCGUGGCCCUCCUCUGCGCAGUAGUAAAACACUCGCAACAGGAGCCCGGCGCGGUCCACUGCCGUAAAACCCCCCAACUUUUUAUAGUUGACCUCGAAUCAGGUAGGACUACCCGCUGAACUUAAGCAUAUCAAUAAGCGGAGGA